Molecule: long non-coding RNA, 817 nt
Organism: Hipposideros armiger (great roundleaf bat)
Lineage: Eukaryota; Metazoa; Chordata; Mammalia; Chiroptera; Hipposideridae
Exons: 3
Source: RefSeq, a predicted model, not a curated record
ACACCAGAAAACACUCCCACCUCUGAUGUCCACGUGACGCCCCACACUUCACAAAAGCACUCACUCUCUGCCCCACCUUGCCCCAUCCACACAGCAGCCUCACCUUGGCCCCCAGGCUCAGAGAGGUCAAGUGCCUGCAGAUUCUAGACUUGACGCUGGGACUUCUGAGUCCAACCCAAGCCCAUUCCUCUGCACACAGAGGCCACAGACACUGUGCACUCGCUUUGAUUGGCUUGUUAGUUUGUGUUUACAAGAUAAGGAAACUAAGGCUCAGAAAGGUUGAGUGACUCGUCCAUGGUCACACCGCUGAUAGAUGGCAGAGCCAGGACCAAGACCCCAGCCUGCUGGACUCCAAAGGCACAUCGGCUGCCCCAGCCAGGCCCAGAGCCCACAGCCCAAGUGAAUGCCCUCACCUUCAUGCUCCAGUGGGACGUAGCUGAAGCAUUCUGCUCGAGUGAUGGACAGUUCAGUCACAGCAGUUCUAGAUAUAAGUGAUGAACAAACUACGGUGGCCGGCAGCCAUCAUGUUGAAGUCUUACCAGGUAUCAUGCUGAGCACUUGACUGCACUCAUUUAACCCUCACAACAUCCUGAGAUCUAUGCUGUUAUCCCCAUUUUACAGAUGCACAGACAGGCAUCCCUCAGAGAGAUUGUUGUGGGUUCGGUUUCAGAUCAUCGCAAUAAAGCAACUGUCACAAUGAAGCAAGUGUCGCAAUAAACUGAGUUGCAAUCCUUUUGCUGGUGGAGGGUCUUGCCUUCAAUUUGUAAAGAAUGCAACAUCUGUGAAGUGCAAUGAAGCAAAGUAUGACUGUCCUGAG